UAGCCACCCCAGGGAGCACCAGGUGACCAGGCGAGGUGCCUGCCAGGCGCAUUGUGUUCAUUGCUUUUUUUUUUUUUUUUUUUUUUUGAGACAGAGUCUUGCUCUUUCGCCCAGGCCGGAGUGUAGUGGCGCUAUCUCGGCUCACUGCAAGCUCCGCCUCCCGGGUUCACGCCAUUCUCCUGCCUCCGGCUUCCAAGUAGCUGGGAAUACAGGCGCCCGCCACCACGCCCGGCUAAUAUUUUUGUAUUUUUAGUAUAGACAGGGUUUCACCGUGUUAGCCAGGAUGGUCUUGAUCUCCUGACCUCGUGAUCCGCCCGCCUCGGCCUCCGAAAGCGCUGGGAUUACAGGCGUGAGCCACCGCGCCCGGCCAUUGCUUUCUUGCAGCAACUGGGGAUUGUUGAUUCGGGACCCCUAGUCGGAGGGUGAUUUACACGUCAGUUGCAGCGCGUUGGUCAAUGUUCCAGGCUGUCAGCUCGGCACCGCCCUCAGGGCUCAAGCUACACAGGGCAUUGAAAGCAGGAAUUCUGUCAUUACAGCCCCAGGAAAAUGGAAGAAGAGGAAAAUGAAAAAAGACAAAAGGGAUAUGAUGCUGGGCAAAAUCCCACCAAAAUCAGACGUAGGAAGGAAUCCAGCCCUUUUGCCCAGUAGAAUUAUGGGGGAAAAGGAGAAGCAAAUGGCGAGACACUUGAAUUCCAAGCUCUCCUCUUGAAGUGGAAGCCGUAGAGAAAGGAGGCAUGUUAGGUUGAAGAAAGAUGGUGAGGUUCCCAGAGACUAGCCACUUCAGGAAGCUCUUCUUACCCUUCGGGAUAAAGGGAGCAGAGAAGGAAAAAGCAGAGUCCAUGGAAUCAUGGGGACACACAGCAAUGCCAGAGACUUCUUGCCAAAGCAAGGAGCGAGCAGGGAAGAAAAGCUCCCACCUCUCACCUUCCAAACCUCAGGCUCCUGCUGGUGUCUCCCAUUAACCAAAACCACAGACACCAACCAGCAAGAAAGCCAGGGACCUAGAGUCAGUAGGGGUAAAUAGAGCCUUUCAGGACACGGAGAAGGGCAGGCAAAGGCACAGAUGGGUGUAGCCAGGGGCAGCAAGGGGAGAAUAACCAGGCACCUCCUUCCAUUCCAGCAUGAGGGCCUGGAAGCCCCUCUUUCUUGCACAUGCACAUGCCAUGCUGGGGAGCGGCAAUGGGAGUUCCGAAAUACUGAACAUUUAUCUAGAGACUGAGUCACUUAAAGCAACUGCUGAAAUUAUUGAAACAGACUGUUUUCUAAUCUAGACUAAAAUAUACUAUAUUUUUCUCUCUAUCCAUCAGUCCAUUGUAAUGAAAAUUUAAUCAAUUACUUAAAGCAAUAAAAGAAACUACAUUUUUAUUGUACAACUUACUGAAGUGUGAGGAAAUGGGUGGAUCCUUCCCACUUUGUAUCCUCUCUACCGUUCUCUACUUCCAAGGUAACUGAGGUGACUUAACAAUGAAACAAGUCAGAAAUGUCCUGAUAGAGACCAAAGGAAGACAAUAUUUCAGACUCCUCUGGUGAGUAUAUAAAUCUUGAGCAAUAAUUGGGUACUAAAUUAUUUGACAUCUAAAAUGGCAAUAAAAGACAUUGUGUUAAAUCCUUAUUUAUUUAAAAUAAAACAGAUUUAUUGAAAGAAAUGAACUAUUUCUGAAACUCAAAAAAUAUAUAAUAGUUUAUCACAAGGGUGCUUCUGUAAAGUAUAUUGAGUGACAUGCAGAAAAAUAGAUCAGAUUUUCUGAGAUAGCGAAAUGGUGUUUAAGUGUGACCUAAAGUCUGUGUGACUUCACAUUUCCUAGCUUUCUGCUUCUAUCUCCUCCAAAAUGUUGUACACUACAGCUUCACCUUGUGCCACACACCACUCAUCCGUUUUUUUAUUGCUUCUGGACGAACGAUUAUUUUUAGCAAUGACCUGCAAGCCUUUUCGAGAAUGCUUAGAUCAACUUGCCAGAAUGUCUUGCUUCAUGCACAGACCCAGAUUCUAGUCUCACCAGGCUUCUCUCUGAAUAUUUUGAACAUUCAAAUGCAACUUUAGAUUUGUGUCCAACUCUUUCUUUCCUAAAUCUAACUCUCCUGACAAGAAUUCUCCCACAAAGGUGGUGUCAAAUAUUUUCCAAUCUAUCAUCAUAAUCUUGAACUAAACUCUUUCAUCAAAUCUACUUGACAGCUGUCAUUUUUUCUAUAUAUAUCCAUAUAACAUUUAUUUUUAUCUGUCAAUUCCCUAUGUCAUUAAAAAUCAAAAUAUAUGAGGAUAGAGGUUGUGUCUAAUUUUCAUCGUAUAUUUCUAAGACAGCAAAAGUUAACCAUUCAGGAGAUGACCAAAAACUUUAUUAAAAUGGGGAAGAAUGUAACACUAACAAAUCUAUUUAGAGGAGAAUGUGUAUUUUCUUAUCACAUUAAAAUCUUUUUUUAAUUCAAAGAAAAUAUCUGAAUUUCAGCGAGUGAUCUGAUUAAGGCAUGAUUUUGUACCUAUGUCUCUUUCUUUCAUUUUAAAGUUUUUUUUCCCCAAGUCUCAAUUAAGUAUUAAAUAUUGUGAUGUUAACACGUACUCUUUCCCUAACACACACUCUCUCUCUCUCUCUCUGUCUCUCUCAAUCUCUCUCUCUCUCUCUCCCUCACAACAACAGCUUUUCUUGAGAAGUCACCUUAAACCAGUGGGCUUGGGAACCUGACUUAAAUGAGCUUUUAGUGAGAAGUGGCAUUUUUGGAAACUUUAGGCUUAAUCUUUUUUGACUUGACAAAAGAACUUCUAAGGGUGGCUCCUGGUACUGUUUCCUGGCCACUUGCUUCUUUUCCUGUGUAGUUGCAUGUUAAACAUGAUGACUUGCUGUAUAGAAGCCAUGUGUUGUCAUAAUGUAACAUCAUUAAACAAAGUGUUUAGAGCAGUUUUAGCUGAGCCAGAACAUGAACAACAAAACCCGCCAAUUACAGUGUCAUUUUGUGUAGUUGUUAAGGUUUCAAAUGUCUCCAACUUUUUCUGGUAGGCCAUAUUGAGCAUGUCACAGUGAACAUCUGAGAUAACGAUUUGCUAGGCAAUGUGCAAUUCUCGCUCCUUUUUUUAAUAUCAGAGAAGAAAGAGUUCUUUAUAAUAAUUUGGCUCAAAUGUCUACACACAUUGCUCCAGCGUCUGUAGCAGCAUGUGUUUCUAGGAUUGUUCUGGAAGAGAAAAUGCAGAAACAGCAGGGAGCAGAAGAUAAACAGGCAAUCCGUGACUCAUUAAAACAAGCAUUGGUCGCCAACAUUGUGGAGUGUGUGAAGACCCCAGAUCCAACUCGCCUAUAAACUUUUUUUUACCAGCUGGACUUAGCAUCUGCCAGAGUUUGGAAAGAGAGAUAAUCUGGUACAAAUGAUUUCAGUGUGUCGCAUUUAUUAACCUGCCACCUUACAUAACUCUGCUGAUUGGGAACUCAGGGAAAUGUUUGAGCAAUGACACAGCUUAUUGUUGGAAUGUUACAACUUUACUAAUAAAGAUGCAAGUUACUGUUUAAAAAAAAAUACAAAGACCACAGAGCAAUUGGAAAAUAAAAAUGAAGCAAAGCUAAAAAGCAUCAUGGUCUUGAGAAAUGUACGUGCCAGAAAAAUAAUUGAAAUUCAGUUUGAAUUUUGAUCAUUUUCAGUGCUUUACAUCAAUUAGGCAGGAAAAGUAUUUUAUUUUUAAAUAGUUGUCACAUUAGUUUGUCUUAACAGCUUUGAUGUAAAUAAAUGCCAAACUGGGAGCAUUAUCAUGUCCUUUCCAAACUACUUACUGUUCUAAAUGAAUGAUUCGCUUCUGUUGUUAAAUCUCUGACAAUUGCUAGAAGGGCAUUUUCACAGUAGAACUGAAGGAAAAGUAAAAUAGUGCCCAUUUUUGUUUAUAUACAAAACCGUGUCCAUUUUUGUCUUAAACAGCCUGCCUGGCUUCACAGUUUAUUAAAGACAAAGAACAUUACCCCAGGAAUAAAAUCAGUACCGAUAACCUGCAUACUUUUCAUUCUUGGGCUUUGAUUUACUUCCUUUUUUGCCUCAAAGUUUGCUUGGGAUCAUUUGGUCAAGAGGUGGAAACACCAAAGAGCAAUUUUCUUUUUUCUAUUUCUUAUCCAGAUCUCAUGCCAGUAAUUUCAAAUUAAUGAGGAUGUUUACUCUCUGGUACAAAAUUUGCACAUACUAGCUUAUAAAAUAUGGAUAAGCUGGUUUCCUAUAACAAAAUAUAGCCCUACCAUUUCAAAAAUGAAAACUGCAGAGACUUUGGAAAAAAAUCAGCUGAAGGAAUUCUUCACGUUUCACAAUGGUUAGCCUAUUAUUUGUAGUUUUGAAACUUUAUUGGUCCCCAAUCUAAUCUUUUCUGAGUAUAAAAACAUUAACAUAUGGUUUAACACAGCACAGGGCUGGAAAGUCCAUAUCCCAAAUGCAUAUUGUAUGCAGGGUGACAUUCACACUAAAUACCAUCCCUCAGGGUCUGUACUCCAUUUUACCUGGGAUUGGAGAGCCAUGAAAUCCCUGGAAAAGUUGUUCAUGAGUCUGAACCAAAUGGUGUGCAGUGUACUGAGAUACUAACAGUCUAUGCUUCUGCCAAAGGUUGCGGCUCAAAUGUCUCUCUAAGUAACAUUAAAAAUCUGCUGCUUCAUGCCUAUGAAUUUCAAUAUUUAUAGCAUUCAAUAAAACGGUCCACUGUCAGAGAGAGAUGUGCCACUGUGCACUCUCUGAGCAGAUGGGCGGCAAUAUGGCACAUUUACAUGGACCAGCUGUGGAGCGCAGAAAUGGAUGCUGGUCAGGGGCAAGGUGCAGGCCCCACAUCUGGAAUUCUAACCGACUGGCCUCGGUACCCAUUGUAAACUUUCCUUCCACAGGGUGAGCUCUGAUUUAGAGCUGCUCACUAGUGUGCCUUAAACUGCAUCAAGAGUCCUCAUUAACGCAAGAGACUAGAGGGAGGUUAGGGCCUGGAAUCCCUCUGUCGGGCAUCUGUUAGAGUCUGUGGAUGGCACUCUGUAGUCGUUAUAGAUGCACCCAGGGGAAGAUUCUCUCAGGCAUGAUGCAGUGUUCUCUAUUUAACUGAUUUUAUACCCCCAAAAAAGAGGUUUUUAUUAUAAACAGAGCUACUUUUUCCAUAUCCCCUUUUCUAAAUGGAUCAGAAUAUACCUCAGAGAAAGGACAAUUUCUAGAAUAUUUAAAAAUUUCGUAGAAAUGUCGAAUUCUUUUUUCAAGUCUCAAAUGGAACGUUGUCUUAUUUUGGGUAGAAUCAGAAUGGUUCAAAUGCAGUUAGAAGUUUCUAAAAUAUAUGAAAUUCUUAGACUAGCUGUUUUCAUUGUAGUAUCACUAUUCAGACAAUCAAAACAGCUUAGUUGUGUGUCAUUUAAAUAAUUCAACUGACUUGAUAGAAAGGUAAGCUGCUUUUGACAUUUUAAAUAUGAACAAGAAAUGGUUUGUUACAUUCAAAUACUCAUCAGAAAUAACAUUCCUGUUUCAUUUUCAAUAAAUACUUUUAAGAGAAAGUUCUACUCAUUCUUUCAUUUUGUAAAAUAAUCUUUCCCACAUUUUCCAAUUAUUGACUAAGAUGUAUUUGGUCUUCAGUGGUCCCAUCUCUUGAAUAGUUGUUUAUAUCCUUACGUUACUGAGUAUUCAUUUUCUAUGACAAUCUCUCAAGAUCUAUUCCAGUCUCCUUUCACCCCCAAGAGAAACGCAGGUAUUUUAAGCAAGUGAGACAAUACAACUCGUUAUCAAAUGGGUUAUGGUAACUCAAUCAUGUAAUGUAUGGAUAUUUUAGGGUCUCAUCAUUCAACACUCAACUUUAAAACUACUCUGAAAUCUAAACAUAGAUAUGUAUUUAUGCUAUUUGGCCUCAAUCUUCAAAAAGGAAAAUUUUGGCCAGGCGCGUUGGCUCACGCCUGUAAUUCCAGCACUUUGAGAGGCCGAGGGGGGCAGAUCACCUGAGGUCAGGAGUUCGAGACCAGCCUGGCCAACACGGAGAAACCCCAUCUCUACCAAAAGUACAAAACUAGCCAGGCGUGGUGGCACGUGCCUGUAAUUCCAGCCACGCAGGAGGCUGAGGCAGGAGAAUAGCUUGAA
Molecule: long non-coding RNA, 6048 nt
Filed under: Homo sapiens (human)
Lineage: Eukaryota; Metazoa; Chordata; Mammalia; Primates; Hominidae
Description: HSALNT0113828
Source: RNAcentral